GUUGAUCGCGUCGGAAGUGUAAUCUUGGGGCUUAACCCUGAGCGUGCUUUCGAUACGGGUUGACUUGAGGAAGGUAGGGGAGAAUGGAAUUCCUGGUGGAGCGGUGGAAUGCGCAGAUAUCAGGAGGAACACCAGUGGCGAAGGCGGUUCUCUGGGCCUUUCCUGACGCUGAGGAGCGAAAGCGUGGGGAGCGAACAGGCUUAGAUACCCUGGUAGUCCACGCUGUAAACGGUGGGUACUAGGUGUGGGGUCCAUUCCACGGGUUCCGUGCCGUAGCUAACGCUUUAAGUACCCCGCCUGGGGAGUACGGCCGCAAGGCUAAAACUCAAAGGAAUUGACGGGGCCCCGCACAAGCGGCGGAGCAUGCGGAUUAAUUCGAUGCAACGCGUAGAACCUUACCUGGGUUUGACAUGGAUCGGGAGUGCUCAGAGAUGGGUGUGCCUCUUUUGGGGUCGGUUCACAGGUGGUGCAUGGCUGUCGUCAGCUCGUGUCGUGAGAUGUUGGGUUAAGUCCCGCAACGAGCGCAACCCUUGUUCACUGUUGCCAGCACGUUAUGGUGGGGACUCAGUGGAGACCGCCGGGGUCAACUCGGAGGAAGGUGGGGAUGACGUCAAGUCAUCAUGCCCCUUAUGUCCAGGGCUUCACGCAUGCUACAAUGGCUGGUACAGAGAGUGGCGAGCCUGUGAGGGUGAGCGAAUCUCGGAAAGCCGGUCUCAGUUCGGAUUGGGGUCUGCAACUCGACCUCAUGAAGUCGGAGUCGC
RNAcentral lists this ribosomal RNA (761 nucleotides) under uncultured Actinomycetes bacterium. Its description in RNAcentral is "bacterial SSU rRNA". It matches the Rfam family "Bacterial small subunit ribosomal RNA", at positions 578 to 1335 of the family's 1533-position model. The record is from RNAcentral. Lineage: Bacteria; Bacillati; Actinomycetota; Actinomycetes.